UGGGGAAUUUUGGACAAUGGGCGAAAGCCUGAUCCAGCCAUGCCGCGUGAGUGAAGAAGGCCUUCGGGUUGUAAAGCUCUUUUAGUCGGAAAGAAAGAGUUGCAAUGAAUAAUUGUGAUUUAUGACGGUACCGACAGAAAAAGCACCGGCUAACUACGUGCCAGCAGCCGCGGUAAUACGUAGGGUGCUAGCGUUAAUCGGAAUUACUGGGCGUAAUGGGUGCGCAGGCGGUCUUGCAAGUCAGAUGUGAAAGCCACGGGCUUAACCUGGGAAUUGCGUUUGAAACUACAAGGCUAGAGUGCAGCAGAGGGGAGUGGAAUUCCAUGUGUAGCAGUGAAAUGCGUAGAGAUGUGGAAGAACACCGAUGGCGAAGGCAGCUCCCUGGGUUGACACUGACGCUCAUGCACGAAAGCGUGGGGAGCAAACA
Molecule: ribosomal RNA, 427 nt
Filed under: uncultured beta proteobacterium
Lineage: Bacteria; Pseudomonadati; Pseudomonadota; Betaproteobacteria
Description: bacterial SSU rRNA
Rfam family: Bacterial small subunit ribosomal RNA
Source: RNAcentral